Molecule: non-coding RNA, 394 nt
Organism: Lonchura striata (white-rumped munia)
Lineage: Eukaryota; Metazoa; Chordata; Aves; Passeriformes; Estrildidae
Source: RefSeq, a predicted model, not a curated record
GGCUACACUUUGAUUCUUUCAGAGCUCUCUGAACAGUGUUUUUAGGGUUUCAGUAUCUUAUUUUUAAAUUAUUUUUGUCCUAUAUAUUGUUCUAUAUAUUUUGUCUCCCUAUGCUUAUUUUCCCACCUGUGUUGUGACAACAAGCACGUACAAAACCAAUCAACAUACAGGUUUGGUGGUGAUGGGAUAUCAGAGGAACACUCAGAUGUAUAGAAACGACUGCCAGCGAGAGCAGAAAUGUAAAAAAUAAAUACCCUGUGCUCCCUAUGUGGAAAUGGCCUCAGACUCAGACUGUGGUCAGAGAGAGGCAAAGGUGAUGUGACCAGUCUACAGCCAUGAAAUGAAACAACAAGACAACAUUCCGUGGCAGGCCAGAUACUGGAGGGUGCACAUA